CAGUAGCCACGGGAAUACGGAGGGAGCUAGCGUUGUCCGGAAUUACUGGGCGUAAAGCGCACGUAGGCGGUUAUUCAAGUCAGAGGUGAAAGCCCGGGGCUCAACCCCGGAACUGCCUUUGAAACUAGAUGACUGGAAUCUUGGAGAGGUCAGUGGAAUUCCGAGUGUAGAGGUGAAAUUCGUAGACAUUCGGAAGAACACCAGUGGCGAAGGCGACUGACUGGACAAGUAUUGACGCUGAGGUGCGAAAGCGUGGGGAGCAAACAGGAUUAGAUACCCCUGUAGUCCCUGUCUCUUAUAC
Molecule: ribosomal RNA, 301 nt
Filed under: uncultured bacterium
Lineage: Bacteria
Description: partial 16S ribosomal RNA
Rfam family: Bacterial small subunit ribosomal RNA
Source: RNAcentral